CCUGUAUCCGCCUGAGAACUACGAGCACAAACGCUUAAAACUCUAAGGACUUGGCGGUGCCCUAAACCCACCUAGAGGAGCCUGUUCUAUAAUCGAUAAUCCACUGAUCCACCCAACCACCCCUUGCCGAACANGCCUACAUACCUGCCGUCUGCCAUGCCCACCUAAAUGAAAGACCAAAAGUGAGCUCAAUAGCCUCCGCUAACAAGACAGGUCAAGGUAUAGCCCAUGGGGUGGAAGAAAUGGGCUACAUUUUCUAACGUAGAAUAUAACGAAAAAGGACAUGAAACCNGUCCUUGGAAGGAGGAUNUUGCAGUAAAAUAGGACCNAUACCCUUUAAGCCUAUUUAAAGACNGCCCU
This 360-nucleotide ribosomal RNA is filed under the name Centrocercus urophasianus (Greater sage-grouse). Its description in RNAcentral is "partial 12S ribosomal RNA". The record is from RNAcentral. Lineage: Eukaryota; Metazoa; Chordata; Aves; Galliformes; Phasianidae.